UUUGCCUACGGGAGGCAGCAGUGAGGAAUAUUGGUCAAUGGGCGCAAGCCUGAACGAGCAAUGCCGCGUGAACGAGGAAGGUCUUCGGAUCGUAAAGUUCUGUUGAAGGGGAAAAAGAGCGGAGAGAGGAAAUGGUCUCCGAUUGAUAUUACCCUUCGAGGAAGUCACGGCUAACUACGCGCCAGCAGCCGCGGUAAUACGUAGGUGGCGAGCGUUAUCCGUAAUGAUUGGGCGUAAAGGGUGCGUAGGCGGCCUGCUAAGUCUGGAGUGAAAGGUACCGGCUCAACCGGUACAGGCUCUGGAAA
This 305-nucleotide ribosomal RNA is filed under the name uncultured bacterium. RNAcentral's name for it is "bacterial SSU rRNA". It matches the Rfam family "Bacterial small subunit ribosomal RNA", at positions 334 to 632 of the family's 1533-position model. The record is from RNAcentral.